UUGAAACACCACUUCCCAUAUGAUCACAAAGUUAAGCAACAUUGAGCCUGGUCAGUACUUAGAUAGGUGACUGCUUGGGAAUAUCAAGUGCUGUAA
This is a non-coding RNA of Acanthosepion pharaonis, 96 nucleotides long. The record is from the annotation of a GenBank genome assembly. Lineage: Eukaryota; Metazoa; Mollusca; Cephalopoda; Sepiida; Sepiidae.